Columba livia (rock pigeon) is the source of this 42553-nucleotide long non-coding RNA. RefSeq lists it as uncharacterized. The record is from RefSeq and is a predicted model, not a curated record. NCBI's taxonomy places the organism in Eukaryota, Metazoa, Chordata, Aves, Columbiformes, Columbidae. The transcript is spliced from 22 exons.
AUACAAUAUACGUGCUUAAUGUUUGAAUCUAAGUAUGAUCUACCGGCAAUGAAUUGAGGAAUCCAAUCGGAUAACAACUUUUUCAAAUAUUCCUUGGGAGAAUUACUUUGGUUAAUUCCCUCUUUCCCUUCCAACUGUUGUGUUCUGUGAUGACAUUGUAAAGAUGUAUGAUUUCUUUUCAGAAAGGAGAGAAAUGGCUAAAUGAGAUUGAAUUAAUGACAUUCACAGUAUCACAGUAUGUUUGGGAUUGGGAGGGACCUCAAAAGAUCAUCUAGUCCAAUCCCCCUGCUGGAGCAGGAACGCCUAAGUGAGGUUCCUUCAUUCAGUUGUAGUCUUUGCAUGAGAGUUGAUUGAUGUUUUGCCAUUUUCACAUCUUGUCACAGUCCUUGUCAUUUGAAUGAAUUGUCAGCAUUUUAAUGUCUUGAAUACUCUGUAAAUUUACUCUGUAAAUUGUAGAAUAGCUACUCCCACCUUGUUUAUAUACUGAAUUUUGAUGGACCUACCCAUUUUAUCUUCCUUUAGUUUGUAACUAUACUAGCUACUAAAGAAGUGAAAAAUAUGACCAGUCAAACCUCAAGUGUUUAAAACACAACGAUGAGUUAAUCUGUUGUCUUUCAUCAGUGGCAUGAGGUACUAUAUCCUAGGUCUAUUUUAAAUGAUGUGAAGAUUUAUAUGAAUCUGUUUAUCAGGUAGUUUUGUUUUGUAUGAUGUGAGACUAUCCUUCAACUGUGUACUAUUCUGCUUCUCUGUCUCUGAGACAAAGGAGAUAUAAAUGAGAAGUGAGAGUAUAGAAGAAGAGGCAUCAUGCCCACUAUCAGAUGGGAGAAAGGUUGCUGGGGCAAAAGGGGAGGUAAUGGGAGCUGUCAGGGUCACUAAUGUGUAGUGGAUCCAGAUGCAUGGUCUAUGUUUAGGAAAGGAAGGAUAAAACGGAAAAACAGGGAAAAAGAGAAGGGAGGGAAUAUGAGUGGAAAAAAGGAAAUUUUACCUUUGUUUCAACCUUGAGACUAAUACUGCUUAAAUUCUUCUCUUCUCAGCAUUUUUUACUCCUCUGUUUCCUUUUCCCUGUCUCUUUCCCUUUCUCAUUUUUUCCUCUGGAGGGGGUGUAAAAAGAAAAGGAAAAUUUAAAAAAAAAGGGGGGGAAAAGAAAUAGAGUGUAAUUUUCUUCAUAGUCUCCAGGACUGUGAGGGUUGCUUUCCCUUUCAUGUGUUAUGUUCUGGAAUUGCCUACAUGUCUGCAUUUCUGAUAUUGUCAGUAGUUGUGAUGAGGUAAAACUGGGAAGGUGACAUAUAUGUCUGGUUUGAAUUCUGUCUGUAACUCACCAUGUUUCUUAUAUGUGCAAAUAUAUUUUGUGUAAAUUGGAAUAUAUCAUGGGAAGUAUUUGGCAGGCAGAACUCAACAUGCAGUGAAACUGGUUUGAUCGUCAAAACACUUCGGUGUUAGAGAUUGCUCAUGUAUUACAAGAAUGAAACAUUUCUGAAUGUGUGGCCUGGAUUUUUAUUACCAGAACUUUUUUUUUGUUUUUUAAAGCAUAAGGAUUCUCAUUCUUUUAUUUUAUUUUUUUUUAUUAUUAUUUUUUAUUAUUUUUUGCUACAUCUGUGGGCUUUGGGGUGUGCUUUUUGUCAGUGCAGAGAGUUGAAAAUGCUUUUGAAUCUGCAUAGUAGCUUAUUAGGCUUAGCUGAAGAGGAUAACUACAGAACACAUCAUGUGAUGGAGACUUGAGCCUGAAAUAUCAAGUCAAGUGUGUCUCUUUAAUCUUAAAAAAAAAAGGUAUGUUGUUAAGUUGAAGAUAAACUUCAAAACAUAGGCUAGUAGAAAAUACACUGUUUAAUUUACUAAUCUAUAAUUAGUAAAAAAUUAUGUGCACCCAGAAGUUUCAGCUUUUUUAGAAAGUGAAUCAACAAAGUGAACAAGUUAGAGAGAAGUGUUUUUCAUUAUGUCCAUAUUUUUAUCGUUUUCACUCUGUGGAUCUGAGUAGGCUCACACUGAGGCUCUGCCCUACUUUAUCAGUCAGGUGGCUGAUUUUUUUUCUUCCACAUCUUUGAUUACACCACCACAAAAAUGAAAGAAGCUUCAUCAGAGUUUAGUUCUGGUCUGGGGACUUUUCCUAACUCUCAAGCCUGAAUGAAUAUUUAAGCAACUCAUAAUGCAACAAUUGUUAUUCUGAGGGAAAAAUAAAAAGCAAUACUCUACUGAACAUCACGGUAGCCUGAUGAAAAGGUAAUGGCACCGAUGCAGAAUAGAAUAAAAUCAAAUCCUAAUUGUUUUGGUCAAUUUGACUUGCCAACAAGUCCUGCUUUAAUCUCUGCAUAAAUUAGAAGCCUUUUCUCUAUUCAAAUUCCUGUGGGGUUGCUGUCUUUGGCUUCUGUCUACUUAAUUCAGCUCAGCUAGCAAAUGCUUUUGGAUAAUGUCAUGAUAUUUCCAUUAAAGAAUUCAAAGUUGGUGAGAAGCAAGGUGUCAAACUGCUAUUAUUCAGUCAAGAUGAGUUUCAGUGAUAAGUCUUUGGUUUGUCAGAUUCCUAAAGCACUGUAAAGAGUGUUAGUGAAUUAACUGAGGUGCAUGAUCCAAGGACAAAGCUGUUUACCCAGUGUACUUGCGGUCAGGCUACACUGUAAUUCAGAUUACAGGAACUGAAGUUUCAAGUUCUGGUCCUUUAUGCAAAAGGGUAUGCCAGUGAUUGCACCAGCUUUUGUGAGGAAGUGGGCACAGAAGGGAAAGAAGAAAGAUUAACUUUGACUCUUUCUUUCUGAAGGUAAGUUAGAUUGUGGGAUAAGUACUGAUUCAUGAAGUUAUGGUCUUCGUCUGCUCUUGGUUCAGCAUGUCCUGCUUUUCCCUUUUUUCUACUCCUAAAUAUAGUGUAUAAAAAACAUUCUUUACUUGAAAGCUGCUAAGUAUUGAGUCUAACCCCUACUUUACAGAAAAUCUAAUUCUCUCAGCAGAGAGCUUCCAUUUUGUUUUUCCUCUUUAUGGAGUGAAAGAUAUGUUAGCAUAAUGAAGAAUCUGUAUCUUCAAAAUGGAGUUGAUAAUUUUCACUAUUUCUGAACAACAGAAUGUAAUUGAAGUAAAAAAUACAAAAUCCCUGAAAGACAUGUAGUGUAGUUGAAACAGGUAGUUUCAAGUACAAACCAGAAGAAAUUAUGUACAACAACCAGAGGUGCAGAUCGUUAGUUGGUUUGUUCAGUCUAAAGGGUGCAAAGUCUUGAGCAUAUUAAUAAAAAAAAAAAAAAAGUACAAAGAAGCUUUUUUGAAAGGAUUUGUAACCACCUUUUGUAAAAACUCUACCGAAUACGUGCUUAGGUACCCUGGAAUUCACACAAAUCCUGCCAUUUAUCAAUCUGUGUGGAUAACCUUGAGAUGCUAUCAUCCUGAUUCCAGACAGCUGAAUUCUUUGGAGAGCGGGAGGGGGGAAGAGCUGAAGGGGAAGCAGUGUAAAAUGCAUAAGUAAGAAGAAAAGAAAUAAGAAAAAUGUUCUUUUCUGGAGAGCUUGAGUUAUAAGAUUAGAUUAUAGCUAGCAGAAUCAAGGGCACAUAGGCAUGGCACAUGAUGAUUAUGAUUUAUGGGAGCAUUAAAAAGGAAGAAAAUCAAUAUAUAUUCUAAAAGUUCUGUUUUGCUCAGAUUAAUCUAAACCCCUUCCUUGGGUUCAUGAUGACAGAGGAAGGCUGUGUUGAUAAGAACUUUUCCUUUCCCCCCUCACAACAAUAGUUUCAAUGACUGUUCAUGUACCAGUCCAUCUUAAGAAAAUGAAAUUUUGUGGCCUUUCAUUUUUAAAAAUAAAAGCCAGUAGGAACAAUUUGCUGUACGUUUAGGGUCAAUUGUGACAUUGUAUAAGCAUAUGCUACUCAUAAACAAAAUUAUAAUGUAGUACAUGAGGUUCUAUUACCAUGACACAAAACCAAAAGAUUAAUCCCUCCAUAAAAUGUAUUCUCCCCUUCAGCUCUUUCUGCCAGUUAUUUUCGUUGUUCUCAUGCCUAUAGCGAAGUCGUAUUUUCACCUGAAGAUCUGUGCUGGUUUUACUUUCAUAAUUUGGUGUGUUGUAGCUCUAAUCAGAUGUUUGUAGCCAGUUAAAAAAAAUAUAUAUUACACUUUUUUGUCUAAAUAAUGCUAUAUGUUGAUUUGGUAUGUUUUUUACGUGGUUGUCUGAAAAUAUUUUUUAUGAAACUCUUCUGGUUUUAUAUACAUAUGCAAAUAUAUUUUCUAAUAAUAUUAAAUCUAAUAUAUUUAGGUAUUACAGAAAAGAAAUAAUGCAAUUAUAAGAUAAAUGCAGCCACAUAGCCAAAUUCCUGCCUCCAUUUCUCCCGUCUUAUAAAUGUCAUACAAAGCAACAAUCAAUAUUCAGGACAAGGACAGGUAAAGACACAAUUAAGACAUUCCUAUUACAUAAAGAUGGUAAUGCUUUUUGACUAGAAUUGGUAAAUGCAGUGUAAUAUGCUUUUUCUUAAGUGUCCAUGUAGGCCUUGCUGAUACCUUGGUAUUUUAAAAUACUGUCUUUGAGGUACUUUGUUUCAUAACAGCCCCCUUUAAAAACAAACCAAACCAAAAACCUUCUUUAGCAGAAGUAUCUUAAAAAUAGACAAAUAAAUAGCUGUAUCACUGAAAUAUUUUUGUUCCUGGAGGACUAACUUCUAGAUAAUUAGAGUUCAGAGCAUACACCAAUUAAUGGGAACAUCUGAAGGAAAAAUAAAUGAUGGGAGAAAUUAGAUACACACACCAAAAAAACCUUACAGGAUAGGAUGUUCUACUCAUAUGAAAAAUGUUCUUUUCCAUACUUUGAUAUUUAGUUACAAGGUUUAACAUUUGUACAAUGUCUCUUAAAUGUCUCCCAAAUUAAAUUCAACUCCUCAGAAUGGCUGUAGGUAUAACUGCAGACUAUAGAACUUUAAUUACUGCACUGCAGAAUAUUAACAGAGAUGUGAACUAUAAAAUCUCCUUACUAACUUUGCUACUGAAAAAAAGAAUCUAUAUAUUUGUAUUUAUUAAUAAUAUUAAAAGUACAAGCAUUUAAAGAUACCUACAAAUGGCAGUAAAAUUUGUCUUAGAAGAAUAGUAAUGAAAGGAAAUAACGUAUCAAUUCUAUGAGCUAAGAUACUGGGAAACUGUCAUUGGAAAUAAAUUAUUUGUAAAUAUCAAUCAAUGAAGCUUCACAGUAUUUCUGUAGACUUGUGAAAUGGUAAUCUGUUUCUUCAUUUCAUCUCCUUUUUUGGUAUAAGCUAUGUGUGAUGGAGACAAUGACAAUAUAUGGAACAGAAAUAAGGGGUCUAUGUUGCCAGACCAGUCUUAGAACAAUGUUUAGACAGUGAGAGUUUGAAUUUGUUAAUAAAAGUUAAUUAGAUCCUAACUCUUAAAAUUAAAUCUCACUUCUCUUUUAAUACAAUUAUUUCUUAACAGCUCACAUAUAUCUUUACAAUUAAACUAGAUUUCAUGGGUAGGGUAAGUUGAGUUUGAAAAGUCUGCGUCAAACAAUAAUAGGAUUAAGGUGAGAAGAAAGGAUAGUUUAUGACAUACUGCCUCUCCAGACCGAUACUGUAGCUAUUAAAAGAUGCCUGGAAGCAAAAGGAGCAUAGAAGACUCUCAUAUUUCACAAUAAGUGUGUAGCUGAAUUCAUAGUGUCCUAGAAUCCACGAAAAACAGGCAAAGGGUAGAGGUUGGACACGAAUGUGUGCCUUCCUUUAAGCUCCUUCACAAUAGAAAUACAUCUACUCCCUAAGUGAGCAUGGAAGAUAAGUCACAACCCCAGUGAAUAACCAAUAUUUGGAGUCUUGUAUAAUACAAUUUGUGAACAGCCAGAUCAGGGCUUUCUUCUUUUGAUCACGGAAUGGCUGGAAAUUCAAGUAUAUUGUUCUAUCAGAUACAUUUCUGUUCAAAAAAUGUUAAUGUGUUUACCCUCAAAAAAAAAAAAAAAAAAAGACAGAGAAAUAUUGUCCCUAUAAUAAGCAGUAAACUAUGAAAAGAGGUAAAUAUUUUGAACAUUAAACAGGCAGGCUCUUUUCCAAAGUUAUGUCUUUUGUCCGUAUUCAGGCCUGAUGGUUGCAGUACUUCUGUAAUGAGAAGAAGCAGAAUUCUAAAACUGGAUGAGGUGUAAGAGACAAAGCUUUAUUCUAAGGGUUAUUUCAGAAGGUCAUUGUUUCCCUCAAUAAAUAAUUUCAUUUUUGUCUUAAAUAUAAUUUCCUAUUCUAAAAUGCAUACUUACAAAUUUUAGUAUUCUUCCAUAUAUUUGCAGGUUUUUUAAAUUAACAUAAGUAAUUCUUUUAAAUAACAAAUAGAGAAUAAUUUUGGGUUGAAGCAGAAUCUUAAUAAAUGUAAUAGCAAAAUCUCAUAGAUUGUCCAAGAAUGCUUGUUCAAGAAAUGUGUGGGGAUAUUUGAGGCAGACUGAUUGUAAUUAAUUGCAUGAAUUUAGAGAACCUGAGAGACCAGAAUUAGAAGGAAGAACAUUAAAUUCUUUUGCAAUGCAAAGAUCCUGAAACAUAGACACUCAUCAACUUUCCUGGUAUUCAUGGUUCUUUUAUAGUAAUUCUCAUUCUAUUCUAGCUUUUAGUCAGGUUUAAAGUCUUCGUUAAAGAUUACAGCUUCCUGAGGAAUGAUACUUUUUAAGAGCAUGAAAAUCAAGGUAGUUUUGUUUGUGGAAAUUAAUAAUUGAUGUCAGGUAUUGGAGAGCUAAUGUAUAACAAUGAAUUAUAACUUGAUGUUUUCUGUUUUUUGUUCUUUUGGGUGGAAGUUACAUAUCUGACAAACUAAUUCAUCAUUGAUUCUUUCAGAUAACGAAGAAUAAUUGGAAUUGUCUGUUACAGGACCUUCAAGAUCAAGAAGUCUCUUAUUCAGAGUGUAUUUUGUUAUCUCACACCAUAGGAUGAGCUCAGUAAUUAUAUUAGAGGUAACAUCCAUUCUGAUUUUGUCUUAAUUUAUUGGCAGUGUUUCUCCCUCUGAAUUUUACCAUCAUCAGCUGGAAAUAACCAGGUAUAUUCACAUUUUAGAUCAUUCAGUCCAUGUUUUACGUACUCCAGAUCACUUGCUACACAUUUAGUAAUGCACAUUUUAUAUUUUCAAUACUUCUUAAUCAGUUUCACUGAGAAACCUAAAAUAUGCACUAAGCAACUUAUUAUUCCAUUUUGAACUCUGGAAUAACAAGAAACUAUUCCAAAUACUUUGAUAUUUCCACUCGUUAAGGAAUACAUGACCAGAUAAAAUCAUGACCAAAUUCUGUCCUGCUGUAAUAUGUCAAAACAGCAAUUUCUUGAAAAAAGAACAGUGUCAAGUAUGACUACAGAUAUUCCUUUCCUAGUGUUCUCCAAGCACAGUUGAAGAGAUAGAGGAAGGAGUUGAGAACUUAACACAAAGAAUGUGUUACUGAAAUACUAUCAGGUGAAAAAAACGUGGAAAGUGUGCUAUGUAAACUUAAGAUUUAUACUCCUAGGUCUUCCAGGCCUCUCAUUUUUAAGAGUUUACUUGGAAUAUUGAUUGAAAGUAAGUUUAACUAUGAAGUGUAAUGCUAUUGAGCUUGAUCUGUUUUUUUUUUUUUUUCCCCAACUUGAAACUUGUAUUGCUAAAAACAGCAGUUAAUACAACAUAGAGUUCAAAACCGCUUCAGUGUUCUUGUCACAUUUAUCACUGUACAUUGAUAGUUGCCUUCUCAGAUAAACAGUGCAAAAUGUGAGUAAAAAUUUGCUUUAGAAGAAAGCUACCGUUCACCCUGCUGAAAUGAAGACUAAUAAACCUACAGCUUUCUACAUUAUGAAGAGUCAUGACUCUUCUAAUGCUUAUAUUAGUCCUGUGUUUUGUUUGCACUUCGUGAUGAUACUGUGUUUUAUUUGUUCUCUGUUUUCAAUUCUCUCAGCUGUGUAUUGAGAUAGCCUGAAAGAAAACACUUUAGUCUUGUGUCAUUAAUUUUUCAUCCCCAGUUUGCUUAAAUUGUAUCCUAAAUAUUUCAUUUGCUGCAAUAAUAAGAGGAGAUGAUGACAUAAUAAUAAAAAAAAAAAAAACAAACCAAAAAAAAAACAACAAAAAAACCCCACCAUUGCAUAAGUUAUAUUUCUUGAAUGUCAGAGAAGAUGACCUAAAUUUUGAAUGCCUAUGAUGCAUGUGAGAGCUGCUGGAUUAAUAUGCUUGGGUACCACUACAGCUUUUUGCCAAAGAAUGACAAUGAUUAAUCACAAGAGGAUGGCAUCAAGAGAAGCAGAAGUGGUUGUCCAGUUCCACGAGUUUCUUUAAUUAUGUUUUUAGACUAAGAAGGUCUAUGUGCAGGAUCAAUUUUUUGUCUGAUAUGUUUGUAACAGUUUUAAAAAUGCUUUUGAUUUUCAAGGCAUCAGCUUAAUUCAAAUAGUAUAUAUAGUGCAUACUCAUUUCAAAGGCAUUUGAGGUAGGGGGAAAAAGAAAUGUCAGCUCAUUCUGUCUUUCACUGACUACUCCUGUGAGGAGUUUUGACCCCCACCAAGUUGGACUGAAAACUGAACUAGUGACAGAAAUUCCUUGAUUCUACAUUUUGUUUGCAAUCUCUUCUUUGAAUUAUGUAUUUGUAAGUGCUGAGCUUUUCAAUAUAAAUAGUAGAGGGAAGGAAUGGCAAUUGCAGCUUGAUUUUAAAAAAAAAAUAAAAAUAAAAAAAACUCCACAUACUUAAAACUAAUGUAUUAUUUCCAGCCAAAGUUUUAUUGUCCUCCCAUCACACAAAAGAAAGCAAAAAAAAACCACAAUCAGUGAAAAUUGGCAAGAAUUUUAACAGUAUUUUAUGAAAAGAGUUGUUACUUUCCAGCCACUUUAAUGUAUGUUGCUCUGUCAGUAUCUGGACUGCAGGUAAGUGCAGAACAAAGGAGACAAAGAAUGGAACAAGAAAAGAGAAAAUGAAUCAUGGUCUAUUUCUUCACUGAAGCUAAGGUAGGAUACCAACAGUGAUGACUUCAUUUGCUCUGCUUCAUUGAUGCAGUGUCAGUAUUGCUGACGUGGCAGGGAUUUGGAUGUAAUGACCAUGCCUAAAUUCAUGCUUGAUGUUUUGUUUUUUUUUUUCUGCUUUGUAUUUACAUAAAGGCAGCAUAACUUUCCAGAUGCAAACAGAGCAAAACAGAAGCAGAGUCCUGAGUCACUGAUGUCCUCCCCCUGCUCACCUUGCAGCGUUUUAUUGAGAAGUGUCGAGCUAUUGGGGAGGAUAUCCUUGAAAAGUUAUGUUGUUCCCGGUGAGUUAGCACAUAAAUUAAAAAUCAUAUUGCACUUUCCAAAUAAGCAAAUGAUACUUUCAGAGUUCUGGCCAACAUGAACUUUACAAAUAAAACAAGUAGUGGAAGAUUGUAUAUGAGCCAUUGUAGAAUACGCUGUAUUACGGCAGUUACUUUUAUGACCCUAAUCUUUGUACAGCCAGGUGCAAAAGGUAUAAUAUAUGCAUAUACACAAAACAAUAUUUUAUGCUGUAAGCACAUACUUCUGGUAACAGUAAACUCAAUAAAACUGAUAUUUUCUUAUUUGUUUUCCUUCAUAAUUUAAGGAGCUAAGUAGGAUUCUGUGUUUUGCCAUUCUUGAUAUUUGAUGUUAAAAAUGCUGUGGAGCACUAAGAGAAAAUGCUAACUAAUAAAAAAAGCUAGUAUUAGCUUUGAAAGCCAUAACUGUGGUUAGGCAGGCCAGACACAUAUGUUGUGCUGUCAUUUGACACCUAUAUAAUGGCUAAUUCCUGCAUAGGGCUUAACACAGUAAGACGCCAAACAUCUUGUGAAAGGUAUCGAAUGUCUCCAAUGCUUAGUAGCUCAGUAAAAGUUUAAGACAAUUCUCAGUUUCAGUGUUAGCCUCUUAAUGCAUUGAAAAGAAACAGGCAUGCUACCUUUUACUAAAAAUAACUAUACAGAAAGCUCAUUAUAAUUCAAACAUGUCUCCUGAUAAAAGAGGAUAAGCCUAUUUCAUAUAGGCUGUAAUUAUUUCAAUAUUUAUUUUGCUUUUCUCCUCCCAGUCCCUUUUGUUGUCUCCUUCAGAGCCUUCCUAAUGGCAAGAAAUAUAGUGGCAGAUGAAUCUGGGUAAAAAAAAUUCUGUUUUUUCUUUAGCAAUAUCUGUGAAACUUCCUGUAUUUUUUAAGAGAAUUUGACAGAACUAGUAUUCACUUUAAAAGAAAAAAUAAUUAGGCUAAGGGGAUUAUAUAACUUAGCAAUGAAUCCCCAAAAAUAUUUUUAUGGACAAAGCACAAUGUGAUGUAAUUUAAAGCUGUUAUGUAGUGCUCAGAGAAGCCUUCCAGGUUUGUUUUGAUGGGCUUACAGGACUUAAAAUUUUAAAAUAUGCUCAGAUGGAUCUGAUUUUAUAAUGAUCAAUAUAUCUGUGAAAACAGGUCAGGCUCCAGCUCCUUUGUCAUCCUAUGUGCUCACUGUGUGACAUGGAUACUGGAACUCAAAUUAGGGCUAAGCUCUGUCUCUGUAGUAAUGCAACUCUGCUUUUAAAGGGACAAGUUUCUCCUUUUAAAGCUGUUACACUCAUAGAAACAAAAGAACGUGAAAAACAGCAGAAGUUUUAAAUAAUGGAAGAAAGAGAAUAUACUUUGCUAUGUACCAUUAGAAGAAAAUUGGACGAGAAAUGUUAUUCAUAUUGUAGUCUUAUCUGCCUUGAGAAAUGAAAAACGGACAAACAAACAAAACCAACAACAAACCACAACAGUCUUUCUUGGAGUUAGGCUGUGGUAAACCUCAGUUACACAGAAAAGUCUCAGCUAGUCAAGGCAAUACAGGUAAUAUGUAGUCUCAAAUCCAGAACAAACUGUAAUUUGAUGCAAGAAGUCAAGAACUUAUGUGGACAUUUUGUGGAUAUGAAGAAAACUCAAACAAGCAAUUUCUAAUUAGCAGACAAAAUGGUAUAUAAAGGAAAAUCAGUUAAUUUGGCUUAGAACUAAGUUCAUCAAUCUACUCAUCUCUAGGGUAAAGUCAUGUUAUGUCCAUGAAUUAACUCCUGGACCCUGAAUUGUCCUGUUUCAAAUGUUGUAUUGACCAUUAAUUGUAUUCUACUGACCACAAAAGCACUAUAUCUCAAAAGUAAUGCAAGUAUUAAAUAAAAGGCUUUUUGCUCUGCUGUUACAAAUUGCCUGAGAGAAAUACAAUCCAGUAAGUAUCUCUAGUUUACAGGCUAUGAGUUAAAAUAAGGGUAGAACUGUGGUGCUCCAUAUGUAUUGGAUUUGCAACAGAAAGGUUUUUCUCUUGGUGUGAGGCAGCUGUAACCUUGUCUAGGGUGAGGUGUUUGUCUGCAUAAGCGGUGGAAGCCAUUUUUAGGGAUUAUUGAUUCUUCUGUGGAUACACUGGGGUCAGAGAGGUGCAGGGGUGAUAAAAUGAGAUCGUAACCUAGAGCUGAUGAGUGAUGUAUGUUAAGUUUAGUCAAGACAGGAUAAACUUUAUGAGAAGUAGGAGAAGAGGCAAAAGCAAGGUGGAGCCCCUGCUGGAAGAAACAAGAAGAAUAUUACAGUGUUUCUUUAUCAGAAGUUGAAAGGGUCAGAAAAGGACAAAAUAAGACAAAGAUACAUGCACUGCAAUGUGGUGAAAAGAAGUAGCUGCUGAUGUCAGAAAACAUACAGAUAGGUCAGGAAAAGAAUUGUGUGUUGCACCUUACUUAGCCAACCCAGAGGUCAGAAGAAGGAAACCAUGUGUUAGGUCACUAGCUUGAGUUAAGAAAUGUCAUGUUUUUGGCUUCAUCAGGAUGAACAAGCAUUGCAAGGAUGAAAUUCCAAGUCCACAGUUAUCUUCAUAUUUAGACCAGGAAGGCAGAUAGGUGUGACCAGCAUCCAGUUCUAGUUGGGAAGGCUACAGUAGUUCAGGAUUUCAUUGAAACUGCAGUAUUGAUUGAACCCAAGUAGCUGAAACUGCUGGUAGAUAACCAUUAAGAUGAAAGUAGUGUAAUAGUGCCUGAUAAUUUUUAAUGACAUGGAACAAAGUCCCUGAAGCGAGUCUUAUCUGAAGAUGAGAAAAAAAUCAAUAGAGUAGCUUGAUGAGGUUUGUUUGGGCUACAUCAGUGCAUGGUCACUUGUAUUUUAAUUAGACGAAAAAUAUCAGAUUAGAUGGCCUUUUUCUGAUUGUUUCUAUUUACUGAAGGAAACCAGUAUAUAAAGACUAAUUUUAUUUCUACUUUUUGUGACAUCCAAAUUUCCUAAAUUUAAAAAUCUUCAGAGGACAAAUUAUUAAAACAAAGUACUUUGUUAAGAAAUCAAAUAAGACUACGCUUACUGUUGGUUCUUUAUUAAACCAUGUAUCUUGAUUAUACCUCAGUAAUGUUACCAUUUCUAUCUGGAAUGGUUUAAGAAUGUUAAUUGAACUUUAUUAGUUUCCUAAGAUAAUAUUGAAUGUAAAACUAAUCCUGCUGAUUGAAUGUUACUGCAAGUUGUAUUGAAAACUAGAGACUUUUUCUACUUAAUAUGACAAACUUUAGGCCUUUCAGGUUUAUGGAUGGCUGAAUUUUAAAGACAAAUUGCUUUUUGUCUUUUAAAUUCCAAAACACAAAAUAAAGCUUAAAGCAAAACCAACACCUUUUAUUUUAAGAUUUCACAGUGCACAUCCAUGGAAAAUUAUCUUCUCUUCAAGCUGCAAAAUUUGAACAGUUUCCCUUGGGCGACCUAGAAGCUGAAUGGGGCUAUGUCAUAAAUUCUAAAUGCGUUUAUACAUGUUAACCUAUUAGCAAAUUAUCUGUGAGACUUUUGUUUUGUUUUAGUCUAAGGAACUCCUUCGAUCUAUGAUAAUUGAAUUAUCAUGCUUAUACACAAUGCUUAAUGGAUCACCAUGUUUUGUUCUUGUUCUUCUGUUUUGUUGGUUGGUUUGUAUGUUUGUUUUGUUUCUUUUUUUUCCCCGUUUUUAGAGCUUGGUCAUUUUACUUAAAAUUAAUUUGAGGUUUAAUAAAUAAUGCUUCCAAAAAUUCUUCUACUGCUGUAAGCUUGAUUUUGUUGUUGUUGUUUUUGUAUGUGCAGAAGAUCCUUUCCUCACCUGAAGGAGCCUCUUUUCAAGAAAUACUCAGGCAAAGUUUCUUUGUUUAUUAUGUAUUAGUCAGGCUCUUAUGAAUUGUUCUUAGCUGAAAGCAGAAACAAGUUUAGCUGUCUCCUAUGGUUUUCUGAAAUGCCGUGUGGUAUUUUAGCCAAUUGAUCUUGGUAAGACUCAGUCUAUCCAGAGCAAUGCCAAGACUUUGAAUUGUCUCCAUAUUAUAUGUCUGUGUUUUCUCAAAUUCGUUGGCAAAAGGAACAGUAUAAAAAAAGUUUCUGUGUUGUUCAAUAUAUUUAUUUUUGCCUUUUGUGUAUUACAACCUAUAUAGUGAAAAUAAUGAAGAUCACAACUUUUUAGUGUUCUUUGCAUUCUGGUACUUAUUAAAAAGUGAUUAAUUCACUUUCAGAUGCAAAUUUGAUGGACUUGUGUUUUUAUGUUACAUCAUGGUCUUGCAGCAAACAAUUAUUUCAUUUGUGACCAAUGCAAGAGGAAAGGUCACCACAGAAUUGUGAUAACAACUGUAAUAUCUUUUAAGCAGAGUAUGGGGCAUGACUCAAAGCGCUUUUUUAAUAUAAGUAAAAAAUAACAGCAGUUGAAUAUUUUCGUUAUUCCUUUGUGUUUUUUCUAUAAAUAGUGCCGUGUGUUAAUGAAAUGCAGCCUUGUUUUAAUUGAAGUAAUCAUGUAAUUGCAUUACUUUUACAUUUCAUAGUUGUGUGCUUAUAGUUGUAGCCCAGAACAAAUACAAACUCUUCUUUAUCUUACCAGAAGUGUGCAGCAUUUGUAUGCAGAAAAAAAAUCGAAUGUUUACAAUAGAAUGUCACAUUUUUGCAUGCUUUACAUUUCAGCUCCUCCUUUAGGUGUUACAUAGACCAUGUUCUCAUUCACACUGAAGUGUGAAUGAACAUAUACAUUAUUGGACAUAUAGUACAUUGUGAAAGUUAAAACACCUACAUUUUAGAGAAUACGAAAUGACUGAAUUAUCAGGUGUUUCAUCGUAUGAGGUUUGUAUAAUUAUUUCCAUAUGGUAUAUGAUAAAAGCUGUUGCAGCCAAGGGCUAAUAAACUGUUCCUUUAAUUCCAGAUGGCCCAAUUUGUGCAUCUGCAUUAAUAUUAAAAAUUUAAGUUAUUUCCUUUAGAAUCAGCUGAACAGUGUCCUGGGGAAUGCCUCUUCUGGGCUGAUUUUCCUGCUGCAGUUCUCCUGUCUUUUUUUUUCCACAUGCUCACUCACAGGCUUUCAGUUGGGGAACUGCUUAUGAACAGAUACUGGAACAAGAAAUUUACAUGCAGAUUUUGAGUGAAGUUUCAUUUUAGGUGAGCUUAACCACCUUAUUUCUAGCCAAAUGGAAACAUAAAGGCUGAAAAAUAUUUAAGUGAGCUUAAUCUGAGUAUAUGGAAAACGUAUGCAAAUUACUACGACAAAUUGUUUUUGUAUUAAACUUUUCUUGCAGAAAAAUCUUUUGAGUAACAGAUUAAAAAUACCUUUGCAGGUAAAUGUUCUGUUAAACCAGUAUCCUUUAGAAAGAAGCUCAAGUAGUAAGUAUUUGAAAUGUCUCUUGUUUCAUUCUCAGAAGAAAAGCUUGUAUCUCUGUUCUAUUUGGGGUAAUUUUUAAUAAUUUCUUAGUAUGUUAGAAGAAAAAUACUGUUGAUUGGAGUGCUAUGCAUUCUUUAUAACCACCUGAGGAUAUUGUCUGGUUCUUUCUAAAGCAUAUAAACUAACAUAAUGUUUAUCUCUCCCCAACCAAAAGCUGAGUGCAAAGUGGGUAUUAUUCCCAUAAUAAAGGGAAAAAAAAUCUGCAUUUAUUUUUAGUAACAGUUGGAGUCAACAGGCUGUUCUUAUGACCAUCCCGGUUCAUUUCUUCUGCAGAAUAAAUAUUUUAAUGUUAUUGUCAGUCAGGAUUUAAAACAGCAACCAUAUAAAGGCUUUUUUUCCAGACAUGUUUUUCUGAAUAUCCCACUGUUUUGCCCUGCAGCCUUUUCUGAAAUAAGACUUGUCCCAUUUGUGCUCCCAAGUGCAAUUAAUAUUAGAUGCAAUUUGAAUAACUAUAUGUUAUGGUUCUUUUUCAUGCCUUGCCUUGAAAAAAAUUCUUAAAUCUUACUCUAAAUUCUUUGCAAAGAGGCCAUGCUACUCAUUUUUUGAAGUCCAGGUCAUUAAUUAACAAGCUUUUCUUCCAUUGUCUGCUAAUUUUCCCUGAACUCUUUUUCGCACAGAUGAGUGGAGACAAGAAGAGAUUAUGGUGAACCAGGAGUCUUCUGACAAAUUUUUUCUGCAUCAGAAAAUGUAAAUUUGUCUCUAUAAAACAUUUUUGCAGUAAAAAGCACCUCAUUUUUGUAGGAGAAGUUUCUUACAUUUAGGAUGUAUUUGUACAUAAGAAGCUUUAAUCAAAAACUGUUCUUGCUCUCUUAAGUUUUUCAGCUCUGCAACUCUACACAUGUUUGUGGAGUCUUCUUUAAGUCUGAACCUGUGUCUGGAGAAGGUUGCAACUUCUCUGAGAAAAGCAGAUAUGGUUCAUGACACUUACAAGCUCCCCUUGCCCAAAUAGCAGUCUGUGUGUCCUGUGAGAAGGACAGAACUGUGUUCUUCUCUGAACUUUUGGGCUUUUUUCAGUAUAGCUUCCAGCCCAGCAUGGUAUCCUGUGCUUGCAAUUUGACACUGAUGUUUGUAUGACAUGACUUGAAAACAGUGCUUCUGGAUAUGUGAAUGAAAUUAUAAUCUUUAUUGGAGGGUUCAUGUAAGUUACAAUUGAAGAUCCUUUAGGAAGAAAGGACUUUCUCCUUACCAUUGGUCCUACCUAGAUAGAAAACAUCUGCCAAAGACAGUGAAAAGUCUAAAUUCUCAUCACUGUGUGCUUAACUGACAUUGUGUCUUCUUACAGGAAAGAAGCUGGCCUGUUCUAAUCAUAGUUAAAUGUACACAGAUGAAAAUACAAGGUUGAAAUGAUGUAAAAAUAACAUAUAAGAUCCUAGAAAAACAAUGUUGGAAAAAGGUAACAUAAAUGAGCAGCUUAGAGAAAAACAGUUAUAUCUUCCCAAUUCAAUGAAAAGUAAAUCCCCCACUACCACUGAAGAAAACAAGAAAAAGGAAGUGUCUAUUAUUUUGAAUGCAACAAAUUAUGAUUUUUUUUUUUUUUUAUCUUAAAACUUGAGUGUUUUCCUUGUUUAGGGCAAAAUUAGAAAUUAUGUCUAGGUAAACAGUGGCAUUGUUCUUCAUUAUUACUGCUGCCUAUUAGUAGAUUUACAUAGUUCACUAAGUACCAAUUACAUUCACCAAAGCUGUUGACAUUAACCCCUGAGUAUGUGUUAGAAGAGAUAAGGAUAAAGUGCAGGUAAAUAAGGAGAGCAGCUCUCUAUUGAUCUUGCAGAGUAGAACAAGUAGGCUGGAUAAUCUGUUGAAUGCAUUGUAUGAUGAAAAUAUUAUUUCAGAAUAAGAAAGCACUGAAAAGUAUUACUGAUCUUCCCUGACAAAAAUGAAUACUUUAUUUCAAAUGUCUUGCUUCACCCCACCCCUGUGUGAACUGAAAUAUGCAAAGCACUACGUUACUUUUAUCAUACGUCCAUAUAAAAUAUUUUGCCCUAGAAAAAAUGUCAUUCCUGGGUGAGAUAACUAAUUAUUUUGAACGUUAAGAUACUCUCACAAAGCUUUGAAGUGAUAAAAAACCAUGAUUUUUUUCACUUUUAACCAAAAAAUUAAUAAAACUUGCAGAGAUAUACAGAACAGUAAUUAAUUAUGGUGCCUCUGGGUUUUAAAAAUACCGUAAUUUUCUAAUUACGAUGCCUCCAAAGUCACAUAUUCUGAUUUGCUCACAGAUACAUGAGUAUAAAUUUACUAAGGUUAAGAGAGGUAAUACAUAACUCCAGGAGAAGGAAAAUAUAUCCUGAAAGGAUUACAUGUCACACACAUAACAGAUAAUAAUGUAUCGUAAAAUCAAAAUAUAUUAAUUUUUAUGAUAGACAUUGGAAUGAAAUAUUGCAUUCUCUCUGUCUAGGUUUGGAAAAAUGUCUAGCAUAUGUAUUUGAAGAAGGAAAAAGGAAGAGACAAAGAGGGUUAAAAUGUGAUCAUUCAUCUUAAAUAUAAUUUAGAACAAUUUCAGAUUUUCCCUGUGUUGUUGCAAAUGCUGAAAUAAGGCCACUUCAUUGUUCAGGUCCAUUCUGUUCUCUCACACUUGUUACAGGUGCCGUGUUCAUGAUUAAUUGCUCUAGGCAAUUGUGGGGAGGUGAUAGAAAGCCAAAAAAAUCUGGGGAUUAUUCUGAGUUUGUUUUGAAAGCCACCAUAUUACUUUCUUUCCUUCUUUUGUGACAAGACAGAUUAUUCAUAAAGAUGAAAAUAGCUCAUAUAACUCUUUUUGUAGCUUUAAGUGAUACCUCCUUGAUGAUUUCAAUUUUAACAACAAAAAAUGUAUAUUUAAUCUCCUUUGGUUUUGUGAUACUGCAGAGCCAAAUUAUUUAAUUUGGUAAGGUGGCAUAAAUGUAAAACACAGACAUUAUUUUUUAUUUUUUUUUAAUAACGAUAUCCUAAUAUUUUUAAGAUAUUUUGUCUGCAGUGUUCUUAACUAAUCCUGUGUCAUCACCUGAAAACUAUCCCAAACCAUUCCCAGAUUUCAAUUUACUUUACUAACUAUAUAUAGGAUAUACUUACAAACUCACCUAUGCAGUGUUUUGUUUAUGUGCUGACCUUGCCAAAAUGUAUGAGUUAUUGGAAUACAGAAUAAAAAUAAUUAAAAUUAAUGGUUAUUUUCUUAAAGGCUAAGGUUACUAUUUAAAAAAAUAUAUUGACUUUUAGUUGAUAAUCACAGAAUCACAGAAUGGUUAGGGUUGGAAGGGACCUCUGGAGAUCAUCUGGUUCAACCCACCUCCUAAAGCAGUUACACCUGGAGCAGAUCUCACAGGAAUAUGUUCAGAAAGGUUUUGAAUGUCUCCAGAAAAGGAGACUCCACAGCCUCUCUGGGCAGCCUGUUCCAGUGCUCUGACACCCUCAAAGUAAAGAAGUUUUUCCUCAUAUUCAGAUGGAACCUCCUAUGCUUCGGUCUGUGCCCAUUGCCCCUCAUCCUAUUGUUGGGUACCACUGGAGGGAGUCUGGUCCCACCCUCUUCACAUCCACCCUUGAGAUAUUUAUAAACACUGAUAAGGUCCCCUCUCAGCCUUCUCUUCUCCAGGCUGAACAGACCCAGCUCUCUCAGUUUCUCUUCGUAAGGAAGAUGCUCCAGACCCCUAAUCAUCUUUGUAGCUCUACACUGAAAAUCCUCCAGUAACUCCUUGUCCUUCUUAAACUGGGGAACCCAGAAUUGGAUGCACUAUUCCCAAUGCAGCCUCACCAGGGCAGAGUAGAGGGGUAGGAUAACCUACCUUGACCCACUGGUCACAGUCUUCUUGAUACACCCCGGUGUAUCACUGGCAUUCUUGGCCACAAGGGCACAUUAUUGAUUCAUGGUCAACCUGUUGUUGACCAGAACUCCCAAGUCCUUCUCUGCAGUGCUGCUUUCCAGAAGGUUUGUCCCUAACCUGUACUGGUGCCUGGGAUUACUCCUCCCCAGGUGUAGGACCCUACACUUGCCCUUGUUAAACUUCAUUAGUUCCUUCUCUGUCCAGUCCUCCAACCUCUCCAGGUUACAAAUAUCAAAUUAUGUUUGUUAUAGUAAGUCAUAAACUUAAGGCAAUUUAUUAAAUAUAUGAGUCCGUAACUGUACUGAGCACAGAGUACAGGGUUGUCUAGUUCUGUAGUGUACAAUGGUUCAGUCGUUAGAAAAGAAGAUUUGGAAAAAGGAACUGUUUAUUGGAAGUAACCAGUAUUUUUUUCCCCCUCCUUCUGAGUCCUCAAAGGAUAUUUCAAACCAACUGACAAGAUCCAAGAAGGUAGGUAGAGUAUUUCAAGGUUUGGCAUUACUUCAACCAUAUGAGAAAUAGUAAAGUAGGUUUCAGAUACUGAGAUCGCUUUCACAGGGCACAAGUAAUGGAAGCAUCAUCAAAUGGGAGCCAAAAGCAGCCACUAGGAGAGCUAGGAAGUGUAGAAGAAAUUCAGCUUCUUCUAGAAGACCUUAAAACUGUUUGGAAAUACUAAUAUGAUGUCUCCUGCAGAAGUGUAGGAGACCCUUGUAUGUGUGGGUUCUUCAUGGAUCUAGGUCUCAGGCUAUACUAAUAUUCAUAAUGUGAUUAGUUGUAAGACUGCAUGUACGUAGGUGGGGAUACAGUCCCUCAAAACCCUUCUUAAUCACCUUUUUAUAUUAUAUGCUAACUGCUUUUGCAGAGUUAUGGAGGUGGGUUAUGAAAAUACAUAUUUGAUCAAGCCUCUUUGAGUUACAAAGAGAGAACAGUUUUAAAUUCAGGACUCCCAGCUAAAAUCAGGUAUAAAUGAGAGCCGUAUGCACAAUGCUGUAGGCAUUCUACUUCAGAAGGUAGAUUUUAAAACCAUGAAUGAUGCAUCAUGAUCUUCUCCAUAUGAUCGAGUUUGAUUCUCUGAUGGCUCCUGCUGUUUUGAAGCUUCUUAAGGAAUUCAUGAACAGAUGUAAACCAUUAAAAGAUGUUCACUGAACUUUGUGUUUAGUUAAAUGUUUAUGUGCAUCUUCCAUUUCAUCAGGAUCUCUGCCUAUGGUAGAUACUUGCAGGAGUAGUUGCAUUUUUGAGGUUUAUAAAAACCUCUGUGAUACUCAUACUACUAAUUACCCAAUGAAGAACUGAUAUUUCUAAAUUCAGUCUAAAUGAAUGAAACUGCUUUGCUGGUAAUUCAAAUGUUCAUGAUCUGUUUCUUAAUUUUAGAAGACGUUUAUCCAGUCAUGCUUGAUUUGAUUCACUCCUAUGUUUCAGUUGAGGAAGCAUAUGAAGUUCUAUAAACUGAAAAAGUGAGCAAGAACCACUAAGGAAAUCAGGUUGUUUAAAUGAAAAAUCUUCAUUUAUUGUUCAUUAACAGAGAUAAAACUCAUUGCUGGUCAGUUGGUGAAGGUUUUGGAGAGGAAGCCAUAUGAGGAGCAGCCAAAGUCACUUGGUUUGUUCAGCCUGGAGAAGAGGAGACUAAGAGGAGACCUGAUUGUAGUCUACAGCUUCCUCACAAGGGGAGGAGGAAGGGCAGGCACUGAACUCUUCUCUUUAGCAACCAAUGACAGAACCCGAGGGAAUGGCAGGAAAAUGUGCCAGAGAAGAUUUAGGCUAGCCAUUAGUAAAAUGUUCUUCACCCAGAGGAUGGUGGAGCACUGGAACAGGCUCCCCAGGGAUGUAGUCAUGACCCCAAGCCUGACAAUAUUUGAGAGUGGACAAUGCCCUCAUACACAUGAUGUGAACUGUGGGGUUGUCAUAUGCAGGGACAGGAGUUGGACUCGAUCAUCCUUGUGUGUCCCUUCCAACUCAGGGCAUUCUAUGAUUCUAUAACUUGUAACAAAGCUAUUAUAUAUACUUCUCUGAUUCUCUUAGAAGUUGAUUUUAGUUAGCGUGGUGUCUCAGUACAUUAGUCCAAGUGAAAUGCCACAGGACAGAGAUAACAUCCAAUUGUUUGGCUGAAAAUAAUUUCUGUUAAAGUUGGAACAAAAGGCAUAAGAAAUACCAGAUCAUCUUUAAUAAAUCUUACAAUAUUACAAUGAAUCUUGGAAUGCUAUGAACCAGCUUUUAAUGUGUGCAUCUCCACUAAGGCAGAAAAUUGCACUGGGGAAAAAAUACCCAACCUGUUUCUGCUCCAUUGCAACAGUUUCACAGAUGAUGCUUUGCUUUGAAUUUGCAUUAGAAAAAAUUUAACAUUACUGACACUUUGACUGUAUAUGAAUUCUGAUAUAGUAUGCUAAUUAAGAGUUGAUUUGGUUACAUAUAUAUGUAUGUUCAAGAGGAGUCAGAUUUCUUUAUAAAUUACUAUUCUCAGACAUUUCUGCCUCUUAUGAACAUCACUGAUUUCUUUGCGUAUCAUUCAAGGAGUACAAGUGUAAUCUUUAGAGUAAAAGAAUAGGUGAAAAUUACCUUUUUUUUUUUUUUUUCUUAUUACAAUCACCAUCACAAAUUUUUCUUGGUUUACCAGUUCUAUUCUUGUUACAGUCUCUGUCAUAGGAACAAGAAUGGAAUUUUAAUGCCAAUGCAGGCUGUGAAAUGCUAAAUCGCUGAGUGGCUAAGUUACUAGAAUGUGAUGUAUCAGGUCUGGAAUGUAUUUAUGGGUUCUCCAAAAUAUAACAGAAAAUAAAAAAGGGAAUCAAAUGAGCAGCACUGAAUAGAGCAGAACAUUAGAUUUGACUAGUGAGGAGCUAAGAAAUACGUUUUUGGGUUAGGAAGAUUUCCUUGAACUCUUUCUCUUCUGUCUUUUCCCUGCUGAUUAUGUUGCGGAAGCUAAUAUAAUUACCAACAGGCCUCCUUCAGAAUGGUAUUGAUACCAUACUAUUGGAAUUCGAGAUACAACAACUAAAACCAAAAAUAAAUUCAUAGCCCAUGUAAUUCUGCUUUCAGUUGUAGUAAUGAAUGGAUUUGGCACAUGAUAUGAAUUGCACUAGGGUAUUCAUAUGUUUCCCUAAUAUUUUCUCAAAAACAUGUGAAUAAUUUUAUUUUUUAUUUUAACUCUUCCUGUAUGUUGUAAGAUAUCUUCAAUUAGCUAUCAUUGCUAAUAGAAUACUUAUGGUCACUUGCUACUCAAUUAUAAGUAUGUAGCCAUAAUAAUUGUGGUUAUUUGUGUUAUGAGGGUUACUUCAGUUUUAGACAAUUAUAAUUCAGAUAUGAAUUUGACCAUUAAGGGGAAUUCUGUUCUUACUCAGUGGGUAACACUCAUUGAUUUUUAUGGAAGUAUCAUUUUGUUCUGUGUGCUGUAGGCAAUUGCUUAAUCUAAUUUAAUGUGUUUCAAUGGCUGAAAUAUUUCUUUAAGCGUUCCUUGCCUCAUGUUUAUCUUUCACAUUUUAUACAAUGCUGUUCCUACGGUUUAUGCCAUGAGAUUGUCUCAGAGUGUUUCAUACAACAUUGCCUUGUCUUAGACAUUCUGAAUGGUUUUAUGCUGUCAGCAGUUGUUCAAGUUUUCACUCUUUACAAUCGUUUUCAUGCCUUGCGAGAUAUACUUUACUAACUGUCCAUUUUGAAACACUUCAAAAGAACAACAUACUAUAAUCUUAAUCUUUAAGAAGGAAUUUCACUUUGCCUGCCCUGGCCCAGUUCUCCAUAUUUUGAAUGUUUAAAAGAAUUACUGCCAAAGCACUGUUGAUAUCAUUAAUAUGGUAUUAUCAGCUUCAGUCAUGUAACUGUCACAAGGAUAGUGGUCGCAGCAAAUAUGCUGUUCUUCAGCACUGGGAAAGGAAAGUAAAAAUUGUACACUUAGAGGAAUCCUAUGAGAUGAGUUAUGUACAGAUGAACCCUCUGUGAUUUUUCCAUUCCAAUCUCGGGUGAAGAUUAAAAAAAAAUCAAUGACAGUUUUGCUGUGCAAUUCAGUACUUCAGUGGGGGUGAUUUGACAACCGUUUCUGUGAAGAAGCAGAUGGUGGAUUCUUUUCCUUCUCUCCUAUAAAUACUUUCAUUCCAGUGAAUAAUUGAUGCAGAAGGGAAAUUCAUAACGUGAACUGCUUACUGGAAACAUCAAAAUUAUUUGAGAGGAGAACAAAACAUUAUCAUUUUUAGAGGAGCUUGAAUACUAUUUAAAAGGUGCCUGUCAUCAGCAAUUUUUAAAAACAUUUGGGUGAAAGAGCAAAAGCUACUGAUGUUUAUGAUUGUGUGUUCUCUGUUACACACAAACUCUUGUUUUUAGCAAAAGGUGGCAUCCCAUAUAUAUGUGUGUACAUAUGUAUGGAACUCCGAGUUUCUUGUCUGUCCAGAUAAUGUUUUAACAAUUAUUAACAAUACAGGGGAGGCAACGGUCACUUGCCUGUUAUCACAGCUAAAUCUGGUGAGGUGAGGCCAGCCCAGCCAUGGGACCUAGCGCUGUUGGGUCAGGUCAUCACAAAGCUUGAGGCCGUCUGCUAACAAUGGCAAAAAUUGUGUUUAGAAUCAUAGAAUCAUUUCAGUUGGAAGAGACCCUCAGGAUCAUCGAGUCCAACCAUAUCCUAACUCUAGCACAGGGAUAUGCUACACAUAAGAUUUUGCCUGACUGAACAGUUCUAUGGUUUGGAGAAGACGUGAUGACAUGGAGAAGGGAAUUAGAUUCCAGUAUGGGAAAAACUAAUCAGGUAACUGUGUUUAGAGCUUUUUUAGAAUAGACUGCUUUUAGAUAGCUGUAGUUACAUAGUUUAUACUCUAAAUUCAUAUAACAUUCCCAACUGAAUAUUUUAAUGUUAUUGCAUAACUUUGUAAGAUUAUUAAGCUAAAUUUGGCAAGUCUAACAUUUAAAUAACAAAGCUUGGUUUUAUUUAAAAAUUUAGUAGCAUUCUUUUUUCUGUGUCUCUUUAUAACACUAAGGGUACACAAUUUUUUCAAAAGAAAAAAUUUUAUGCAAAAAGCCACAAACCAUAAAACUUUAGUGAGUUAUAUUAAUGAGUCAGAACAUGAAAGAACGAUCAAAUUAUUUUCCUCUAAAGUUAAAAUAUAUGGAAAUUACAUGCAGUGAUGAAUUAAACAAUACAAAAUCUACUGCCCUAAAUUCAAUGGGUUUGGUGAAACAGAAUCACUCGAUGCCUAGGUCAUUUUGAGAGUGGAGAAAAGAUAUUUUCUGUUUCACUUAAAUGAACAUGAGUGAAAAACAUUCUUUGUCUGAACAAGGGGGAAAAAAUGUUAUUUUAUAAGAGAGCAGCAAAUGAGAUAAACAUUCAGUUGUCUUCAGUGUUGGCACAUGGUUUCCCAUAAUACCAAAAAUAUAUGUUUGGGCUUAUCUUUAGCUCUUGCCAUUAUUAUUGUUGAUUGUUAUCAGAUAAAAGAUAUCAUUUUUACAAAUGUACAAAUAUCUGACAUUGUAAAGGCUAAUAACUAAAAAGAAAUACACAGUAGCAUGGAUAUGUUAGACUUUAUUUCAGAAAAAAAACAGUCAAAUUACUGAACAUAAUAGUGAAGGUGUUCUCGCCAUCUUCCACAUGUCUGAGUUUGGAGUAGUGUUUUAUAUAGCUGGAAAAAAGAAACUUUCUGCUUUUUACUAGCUCUUUAAGGUUUUGGGCUUUGGGGCUUUUUUCGGCAUCCAGCUUUAAAGACUUUUUGUACUUUUGCCCUUGUCCAUUUUGAAUUGCCAGUGCAUUUUCUGCCUUGUUAUACAAAGUGUUUUUUAAAAUGCUCAAAAUGGGAUGGCCUUUUAAAGUGUACACCCUGCUGCUUUCUGAGGAGGAGGGUAAAGUUUCAUUCUUAAUGUCUCUGAAAUUCAGUUGGAGCCACUGCUUUUUGUAAUGUUCCUACAAGCAUGGAGCACUGCUGUGUAACCAUUAAUUCUGAACAGCUGCAAGUUACUACCAAUCAGAACUAUACUACAAUUUUGUUAAUGCUAAACUGGUAUUUUUUUCAGUGUUUCUCUAUAGUUCUACCCUAUAGGCUGCAGUUAGAUCUCAUUUUAAGCAAAUGUCAUGACCUAUGAUGCCAUAGUGUCAUUAAGAUAUGCAAAUAUUGACUUUUUAAUUGAGAUCACUUUAUUGAUGCUAAAAUAUUUAGAUGUGUUUUAUUAUUCAUUUAUCCUCCUGUAGUAGGAUAUGUUUAGGCAAAGCUGUACAUAUUUAAUUAUUUCAAGUUUGCUUGAUGAAUCAGUCCCUCCAAACUGGUAAUUAAUUUAGAUGGUAUUCUCUGAACUCUGAACUCCUUGCAAUAUAUCAUCUUUUUGCUGCUGCACUGCACAGGAAAGUGGAGUUUUGGCAAUGCCGCAUGAACAGGAACCAUUAAUCAUCGCUGUGUGAUGCCUGUGUGCAUGCAACCAAAUCUAGCAGUAGCUUUACUGCAUCCAAUAGCGUAGAUGUUAGAAAUAAAAGGAUCAAACUCAACUGAAAUCUGAAGUAUUUUGUCUAAAACUAAUUAGUCUUGUUUCCUAAAGGAAUGACCCUUAAAACAUGAGGCUCUGCUGACUGAUGGCAAUCUUAUCUAAAAAAGGUUGUGCUCUGAAAGAUACUGACUUUUCAAAAGACUCAUUGAAACCAUGCCCUGAUUCAGACUAAGCUUUGAUCUCAGUUCCUGCACAUCCUAGAGUAUCUAUUAUAGCUGUAUGAAAGAAAGAGGCCGUGAGAAUCCCAGCAACAGGAAAAAAGACAAAACCUUUAAUUCAAUUACCAUAUUACCAAAGAAUAAUCCAGCUGGAAGACACAGAUCUAUGGGUAUUAGGGAACUGUAGCUGGGUCUUUAUAAAUCAUCAAGUCCAUCUCCCUGUCACAAAGCAAGAUGAUUUAAAUCAAUGGUCUUUUUUUCUGUCAGAUAUUCAUUUAACGUGCUACACCCUUACAUGUCCUGCAAGAAUAGAAGCUUAACCAUUUCCUUAUGUGUUUCACUAUUUCUCAAACAUCAAAAUCUUGUUAACUCUGCUGCACCAUUGCUUCUAUUGUUUAUAGAGGCACUUUGGGAAGCAUUUUGGUAAUUUUAUCUUCUUGUCAGUCACUCUCCAGUACAAGGAAAACAAAUUUCUUUUCCUAUUAUCAACCUCUAAUAGUACAGCGUCAUCUAAUCCUUUCUGACUUCUUCAUAUGAACAAAAACUAGCAGAACACCAGAGAUAAAAAGGAUAUAGAAGAAACUUGUUCUUCUGUAAUAGCUAUCUAGGUGAAACUAAAGAAGCCACAUCACAAUUGCAAGUGGAUGCUAGAUAGUGUGAUGUGCAAAGGGGUCUCAUGAAGAAGCAGGGAAUAUAAGUUCUCUCUUCACAAGCUUUACUGCUCAGUCUGCGGAGGAAACAAAUGAGCAUGCAGUUUCCUGUAGAGCAUCAUGUAUCCUGUGACAUACCAGGAAAAGACACACCCUGACAUUUUUUCUUCUACUAGAAAAUCUGAACAUUUUGUACAAAAGGCCUUUUUGUGUUCUAAAACCUUUGGUUUCUUGAUGAAUAUUACUGUUUUCUGGUUAUGCUGCAAUAACACUGAAAACCAUCAGCUAAGCUUUGAAUUGCAUUGGGUACAGUAGAAAUGCAUAUAUAUUUUUGUAAAUAUAUGUAUAUAUUACUAAAGCAUAAGCUGCUUCUUUCUUUACAGAAUGUGCAGCCAAUAAGUACCUUUUUAUUUGGAACAUUUGACUCAGGGCAGAACAUGCAAUCUCGUGUUGUUGCACAAACCAUCAACAGAUUUUUCUUGGUCUGACUGCAUCUCUGCUGUACAUCACAUUGUGUAUUGAAGGAUCCGCAUUUUCUAUUUCAAGUGAUUUUGGCACCCAGGUUGAAAUACUUGAUGUGUACUGCUAGACUGAGCAAAAUAUAUGCAAGUUGCUAAAAGAAGAGAGGUUUUCUUGCUUAUGUAAAUCUGCAGAGUGACUCUUCAUACUUGGCUUAAAAAUUAGAAGAUGUAAGUUGUCCUGGGAAAGGGCUGAAUUGCAACCAGAAGCACCUGUUUUUCUGUUGUCCAAACUACCAUGAAACCAGCAUAUAGGUUUUCUGGGACUCAGAACAUAAAAAGAAAUUAACAUCGAAGAGGCCACAUUCUGCCACGACAUGCUUCGGUUUCUUCAUGUGAUAAUCAGCCCACCAAAAUAAUCAAUAGGUUGUCAGUCAGACCUUGGAUGCCCUCCAGGCCCCUGUGGAAUAAUGUCUGUUAAAUGGACAUGGAAAAUGGGAUCCUUAUGAUUUUUGCCUCAGACCGUGGAAUAACCGUUUUUGCUGUCGGCUGCAGCGGAUUCACUUUUUAUUGCUGACACAGCCUGGGAGCCUUGGAAGAUGUAAAGGUGUUUUUACUGGGUCUUGGUCUCACUUAUGAGACCUUUUAGCUAAAAUGGACUUAAUUCUGUCUCCAUUAUCACUUUCCUCAGCUGGUCCAGAGAACCAAGGCUGUUUGGGAAAGUCUGUGUUGACAGCAUUCUGACAUACUACAUGUGCCUUUGAGGUUUUGAUUUCCGGAUGUCUUCUUUGUAAAUCCAUACUCUUCCAGCUGGAUACUUGGAUCGUACCUAUGUGGGGAAGUCUGUGCAGCCUCCUCUCAGUAACAUGGCCUGGAUUACAGCAGCUGAUCUGAGAGGAACAUGAGUGUAACCAUUGUCUGACCACCAGCCAGAUUAAUCAGCAACCAGGGGUUACCAAAAGACUCUUGAAAACUGGUGGCAACCUGAAAAGAAGCAUGAAAACUUGUGAUUACAGAGGAGAGACAUUAGAAUGACAAAAGUGCCAGACUGGCAGUCAAGCCACGUUUGACCUUACCAAGACUCAGCUGAUGUCCACUGCCACCUCUGCCCAGGCCUGAGAACCAUGACUCCAUGAGGCGGCACAAGUAGCCUGCAAACUGACAGCACAAGUGUUGUGGUUUAUCUUUUGUAUUCCUGGUACUAAUCCUGGAUGUGUAGUUCAGUGAUUGCCAUCCUGAAUAGCCACAACUCUAAAAUCCCAAGCAGAUUGGCAACAAAAUAAAUUUUGUAUACACCUGUGGUGGAUGCAGAGGGCAUCUGUGCCUCACUGGUGACCAUACUCAUCUGGGAGUAUUGGCCAGGUUGCUCAGCAACAAGGGGAGGCUCAGCUGGGUACUUCAAGAUGCAGCCACAACCAGGGCAUGGAGCUCCGUGGAUGUUCCUCUGCUUUGUCUUGACUCAGCUCCUGAGGCCUCAUGGGACAAUAACUCUGUUUUGUGGACUUAAUGGGGUCUCAGUACAGAUCUAAUUAGAUCCAAUAGCUGACAAUGGAUAGAAUGACAAUGUGUCCUGCACAUCACUAUGGAAAUAAAAUGAAUCAAGAAAAUAUGUUCUUCAGGCCAAGAAAAAAAUGAUAAGUCUAUUAGUUUUUCACUUAAAUCACAAAACAAUAUAUAUUAGCUUCAACCAAUUGCAGGAGCCAAAUAGUUUUUCAGGUACAAUCCACUUGGAGUUACAGUAGCAGGUGUCACAAUCUACAGAAAGAACUUAUGCAAGUUUUUUUUUUAGUAUAUAAAAGCAUAAAGCAUACAUAGUUUGACUUUGGAAAAUUAUAUGUAUCCCCCAGUGAACUGUCAGGUGGAAUCACAACUGGUUCCAGCUGUCAGUGAUGUGACCCAAGUCAUCAGCCCCAUGACAUGGUACAAACCAGAAUGGCUUGGGAGCUGUGCUGGAGUUCAGCCAUUAACUGCUUUUUUUACUACAAUAAGGACAAUUAAUAUUAAAAAGUGCAUUUCAAAUAAUAUCUAGUGCAACCUAGUGACAUAAAAAAUUGUUUGUAUAAACAAAACAGAAAAUACAAAUGUAAAAGCAACAUAUAAUUAUAUCAUUUUGAAAUUAAAAAAAAUAAAUCUGUGAUACUUUUGUGAGAUAAUUUUUCUCCUAAAUUAACCAUGGUUUACAGCAUUAGAAGUUUCAUAUAUUGCCAAAUAGUAUGGACAGCAUAGCUGGAUAUUACGAUGUCCCUGGCCUUUUGAUAUUUUUCAACCAAGUUGGAAUCUGAGAAAUUUGCAAAGUAACUGAUUCUAUGGUUGUUUCACUUAAAUGUACAUACUGAUGGACAGAUACCUACCUAUGUUAUUCUUCCAAAAAUCCUGCCUGGCAAAAAUUUGCUCUUGAUCUUCUUUCCUUUUCUUGCGUACUGUUCCUUCUUCUUGAAAAUCUGUAAUUCUGCAACCUAAAAUGCACAUAUUUUAAGAUGCAUAAACUGCAGUAUAGAAGUAUUUAUGCAGUCAAACUGUAUUUUUUCUUGUUUAAAGAAUUAAGUAUCUGAUCAGCAUCAUUAUUGUCUUCUAGCUUAUUUGCUUAGUAAUUGAAAUUACAAAAUUGCACAAUCCCUGUAGUAAAGAAUACAGCAAUAAAAAUAAAAUCUGUUAAAAGAUUUAAGAUGCUUUAUUUACUUGGGAGAAAGCUGACUAGCAUUUUCCACUUAAAUAAGGAAUAUCCAUCACAGAUGCUAUUUUCUUUUGUUAAAUUGCUUAUAGACUAUGUUCUGUUGGCAUGGAAUUCAAAAGAAAAUUGACACAGAAUUCCUUGGGCAUCAGUCUCUAAAUGAUCUUUCACCUCUAAUGGUAAGGUACCUGGAAGAGGAAUAUCUGCACCAACAUUUUCUUACACGCAGGAAUUAGUUCAGGUUGAAGAAACCUGUAUAUUCACAGUUCUAGAGGGACCAUUGUGAUAAUCUAAUGUGGCUCCUUAGCACAGUCUAACAACUUCUUUGUCACAUCAGUAGCAGGUGGCUGAGCUAUGACAUUAUUUCGAGUACUUCUCUAAUGUGUAUGAUGAGAAAGAGAAUCCACUGAAAUCUUUUGAAUUAAGAAAAACAUACAGUAGUAAAUCCUGUCUUUUUCACAAAUAUUGAGUGACAUGUCCAAAUAGUUUGGAGCAUCCCACAAACACUUAAAAGUCCUGUAUUACUACAGCUUAACAUCGCAGGACUUGGCCCUGAAACAUUUUUUGAUGAAAAUAAUUUUAAGUUCCAGUAGUUUGCACCCUGAAAAUAAAAAUGUCCAAAAGAUACUUUCUGUUUGGGUUUUGAUAGGGCGUUUUGUCAGUUUGGUGAGAAAUGGCUUAUUUUUGAUGGCCUGCCAGAAGACCACCCAAAAUUGCACAAAGUGACUGUAAGGUAGAAUAAAAGAAGAAGGAAAAAGAAAAAAAAUCUCUCAACAAUGAGAACUGUCCAAAUAAAAGAAGAUGAUAAAGGUCAUAAAUCAGACAUUACUGUUGCCCUUAAGUCAGCAACUGUCAAAAAAAUUUUCCUUUGCCAGAAACAUGCUCUGCAUUUGUCAGUGCCCUCCAUGCGUGGGCCAAGUAGAUCUCAGGGAAAAGAGCAACCAGAAGCCUGAGAGACUCCAAGCAGAAGCUGUGAGAGACAAAGCACAAUUUUGCCCAUAGAUCUUACUGAGAAUAGAAUUUUAAAGCCAUUCACGUAGGACUGCCUGCAACUUUCCUAAUGAACAUUGUUUUCUUUUUUUUUUUUUAAUAAUAAUGUGAUAUGCUGAUUUGUUAAGGAUGUCCUGAACGAUCCCGCUGAUUGGAAUUUUUGUGAAUUUAGGAACAGUGAAGCAUUAUCAAAGGGUUAACCUUCCUGUCACUGAUAAAAAGGAGUGGGGAAACUGGAAAUCACAAAACCAUUUAUGGAACAGUAACUUUCCCGUGAAAAGCUUGGAGACAUUACAUUACUGCUGCAAGCUUCAUCUUGCUUCUUUUGCCUGUGACCUUGAGCCAAAUCAUCUUGCCAGAACAAGUCCCCAUCUGUCACAGAGCUGCAGAAGAGCCGAGGGUGGAAGUGUGCAAGGCUCCUUCCAGCUGUCUGAAGGCCUCAUCUGCCUUUUCUUCCUGAUGAGAAUAUGGAAGAGGAUUUUUACUGCUGAAAAAAAAAAAAAAAAAAGUGCUCUAGAAAGUUUUGGUGGAAAAAAAUCAAUGACUGAAUGAAGAAAGAAAAAUUAUGUUGAAAAUUAACUUCAUACAAAGAUGUGAUUUUAUGAAGAACUUCAUCUUUAUCUGACAAAUUUAGAUCCUUUGAUCCAGUAAAAUGCCUGUAAACAUGCAACCCUUGGAAAACACCAGAUAGGAUUACACUCUCUAAUGAGUUGCCUACAAGGAAGAAGAAUAUCCCUAUAGAUGUACAAGUUCAAAACACACCGGGACAAAGUCUGAUGGUUUUGUUUCACACAACUGUUCUAAAUGAGCAAAAAUAACAAUGGUCUCAGUGAAACCACAUCAGAAAUAUGCUAAAAAUAUUACACGUCUUUAAGUACCAAUGGACAAAAGGAAGGAGAGGAAAACUCAUGAAGAUGGAGAAUAUAUAUUGUAAAAGAAUAAAUAUCAUGCUUUGAGGAAAGAAAAUGAAGCCCAAAAUUAGAACUAUUUUUUAUAAUGAUGUCUGUUCUUCUCCCCUGCUACUGCUUAGCCACAAAGUAAACCUGCUGAAAAGGAAAUUAACUCUGGUAUGUCCACCUCAUAUCAUUUAAACACAGGCUGACAUGAAAUAGCCAAUAGAAUCAAUUGAAUCAAUAGUCUGCAUUUGAAAUUCUAUUUAGAAAAGCACUGAAGAAAACAGAAACUGAAUUAUGAAAAGAAAAAGUGGCAUUGAAGACUAAGAACUAUUUCUGACUGAAUUAAAAAAAGACUUUAUAAUGUGUUUCAUCUGCUUAUUUUGUUCAUGUUUAUUUAUAUUUAUAUUAUCUAUGAAGGAAAACUCCCUUUUAAUGCCAAUAUAUAUAGCGCUUUCAAGACAGAGUAUUUGUAUUAAAAGAAGCUGGCAGUCAUGCCAAGAUGCUGCAGUGAUUGGCAGCAGCAUAAAUCACAAAUAGAUGUAAGAUACCCAUUCAUUCCCCUCUCCCAGCCUGUAAUAGUCUUGUAAGCUAUUUUGUCAUCUCAUCUCAUCUCAUCUCAUUCUGCUGUUCACAAGCAUGUUGUGUGAAGCAGCCAUGCCAAAAUGAAAGGAGAAAUGUAGGUUGUAAAAUGUGUACAAAACAUUAUGAUAUUUUUCCUAGCUGGUUCAUCUAGCAGCAUAAAAACACCCUUGAACUGUCUUGUCAAAAAGGAAAAGAUAUAAAGAAACAUUGCGUCAGAAUUCAGUGUUGCAUAAUAGCCUAAGUUACUUUCAUUACUUAAAAAUAGUUUUUCAACCCUUUUUAGACAAAGAUUUGAGAAUGUCUUCACACUUUCAUGUAUUGUGGUGACUGUGUGCUUUCUAAAUUUUUCAUUUCUUCAACUGUUCACACAUUCUGUAAAGUUUCUGUUUAAUCUUUCUCUUUUCCUUACCCCAUUUGAUCAAUUUUUGUGAAGUUACUUUACUUUAGAUAAAAUUUAUUUCAAUGCAAAUCACUUCUAAAGGUUGAAUAAAAAUCAGAAUUCUUACUAUGCUUACUACGUUUUUCUGUAUUUUAGCAAAAAAGUCUGUUCAUACCCUUUCAAAAAACCUGAUGUGUUUUUAAAAAAUAGACAUAUUUCAGGAAAGUGGAGGUGAAGCCCUUCAUAUUAAUUCCUUUUUAAACUCUGAUCUCCUUUUUAAUUUUUGUGUACAGUCUAGCUGAAAAUAUCUUGCCUUCUUGACUGUAAAACAAAGGGCAUUUGCAUAGUUAUCUGAAGUGUUUAAUAAUUCUUGCCUUCCCUGUGAAAUUAAGCUGAUCUGAUUUUGGUUGAAGAAGUGAUUGAGUGUUUCAUUAUUCUGAGUGAUGGCAUGCUGGUUUCUCAUAGAGAGGCAGGCAGGGUGGGCGAAGAAGUAAGCGAGCGCAAAGCUGCACUGCUCACCCUGCUCACCACUCUUCAUGUGGUUGCUCUGAGUGGCUUUUUUUUUUCUCUCUCUUUUCCUCAAUUCACUUUGUUUCUUUUUAGAGAUUUUUAUGCAAGUAUUGUCCAAAACAAAGCAAACUAUAUAUUAAGGUUGAGUUAAAUAAGAAGCUUUGCCAUUUCAUUUUCAGAUGAAAAACAAGCAAAAAAAAAUACUCAUGCUUUGUUUUUGUUUUUGUUUUUGACACAAGCUAAAGGAACAUUUAAUUGUAACUGAAGACCCAAAAACAAUGACAACAAGCAUUUCUUUUCCUGAAGGCUGUGACACAGAUGAUGUCUGUUAUUAUUAAGAUCUAGCUGUAACCCAUCCAUUUGUUAAUAUUCUUUUAUGUGCCGUAGAAGGUGAUUUGUAACUGAAGGCCAAGUUAAAAAAAUACAUGCUUUCUUUAUAAUAACCUUCCACAAACAUAGGAGAUUUUAUUUAUAAUUAUUUUUUGAAAAUAAGAGGGUUUGUACAUUUAUGUGACCUUUCAUUUAGAGAAGCAGGUUUGUGCUUUCAAAGGCUUUUUGCACUUGCUGUGUCCUGAGAGAAUUUAGUCAAAAUGAAGCAGCGUACUUAACAUCUGUAAGAUGCAUCCUUUAAAAUUCAUUUUAAUAAUUUUAAAUGAAAUGCAUCACAGGCAUCUGAAGGGUGAAAAAAAGGAGUCAUGAGUAACAAGCCACAAUCUUUCAAUGUAUUUUGCAUCCCAUUCAGGCAGAUGUUUGGCCUCAAGACAUGUAAAGUGAAUGGAUUUGAUUUUCUUUUGUUUUCCCUGCAACUUCAACUGUGGAGAUGAGAGAAGCUCAGUAAGAAAUUAGCUAAACAAGGGAACUAGAUAAACAAAAGCAAAAUGCUAGAGAAUAUUGUAAUUUGUAAAUCUCAGACUAUGUAUGUAUUUUUGCCAGUUGUAUAAAUUCUGCUUAAACAUGUACAUGGUGAUAGCUUGUCUCUGAAAGGAUAUGAUAACCCUAUCAGUAUAUAAUAAGAAUACUUCUAAUGAUGGAUGAGGUUUUUUUUCAUUUGUUUACAAAUCUAAGACUAGAGUCUGGUCAAACUAGUCUGAGUGAAGAACUAAAGUCCUUUUUCUCAUAUUGUAUUGUACUGGAUGUGUUAUUUGACUGCAAAAUGCAUUUGAUUACCUUAACAAAGAAUAGCCAUAUUAAACAGUCAGUUGAACUUGACAGCCUGUUUGCAGACCCAGGAUAAAAUCUGAAGCAUCUUAAUUAAUUCCCCCAAACUCAAUUGUUGCAAUGCCUUAAAGUUGCACUGUCUGUAUUAGGCACAAACUGUGCCGGUACAGAUGGGGAAGAAGGUUAGUAUCUCGGAACAAUAACCCAAAGAUCUGACAUGAGGUAUGUAGCAAAUCAGUUAGGAAAAGCAGAUUCAGGCAAAUGUCUAAUUUCUGGCCUUUAUGUAAACCUGAGAUGUGUGCCACAUGACCUAUUGCUAACUAUCUCCACCUGUCCAAGAGGAGAAACUGCAUGGUCUGUGGUGGUAAAUAACUAAACUGGGCUCAUCCUUCCUAAAAUAUAGCCACAGGAAAAAUCUGGUUUGUUUAAAGUAUAAUCACAAAAUGUUUCAGUCAUCAACUCAAGACAAGGGAGAUUCAAAUUAAUUUCUCUCUGUUGGGAAUAAGGACCAAGAUUUAUUUGUUUGUUUGUUUUUGUUGUUGUUGUUUUGGUUUUUUUUUCUUCCAACUUUCAAAUUAUCAAAUACAAAGGAUUAAAAUAACAUUAUUUUUAACAAAUAUAUUUGUUUAACAGCUAUUUGUCAUUCUAAUUUAUCAAAAUAUUUUUAUACAACAUUUUUGGGCAAGUUUUAUUUACAUAGUAGCAUCAGUAGAGAAACCUGGAAGACAAAUUAAAAGCACUAUACAAGGUGAGAAGAAAAUUUCUUUUGUUUUGGUGCAAGAGCCAAGAAUGGCUCUCAGACCAUGAAAGUUGCCAGCAGAGCCCAUCUGUUAAGCAACAGUGUAAAUCAGAUGCUGCAAGUUUCCAGUGAUCUCAGGAAAGUAAAACACUGAGAAGAGGUGCAUAGAGGCAGGAAGGUCAUUUUCACCUCAAAGGUCUAACACGACUUUUUCUCUCUAUAACCUGCUCUUAAGUUGGUCCUCUCCUGUACAGCACUGUGAUUGACCAGUCCACUGAAAAUGGACCCAAUCUUUGUGGACAGACAUUUUGAAGAGCAGAAAGUUUGUCUUGAGUGCAGAUACAUUACUUCAUAUGAAUGUGAGGGAUCUUUGAAAGCACAAGUCCUGAGGAAACAUUGUUUGCAAUGAUCCCAUUUCUCUUAUUAAUCCAGGCUCUAUCACUUGAGCAUAAGUGAGCAAUGACUGAAGAGUCAAGCUUGUUUGGCUUCUCUGUCUCUCUCUGUCAUGCAUGUUGUUUGUAUUAUUCAGUUCCUUUAAGAGACUUUUGUAAAAUACCUAUAUUCCACGGAACUAGGUUGCUAAUUGAGGGAACAUUAAAACCAGACUGGUCAGUUGUAGGCAUUCAGUAAGGAGUCUUGUCAAGUGACAGUUAUCUACACCCUCUACUCUGCCCUGGUGAGGCCACAUCUGGAGUACUGUGUUCAGUUCUGGGCUCCCCAGUUUAAGAAGGACAAGGAAUUACUGGGGGGAGUCCAGUAGAGGGCUACAAAGAUGGUUAGGGGCCUAGAGCACUGAAGCAUCUUUCUUAUCAGGAGAGACUGAGAGAGCUGGGUCUGUUCAGCCCAGAGAAGAAAAUGCUGAGAGGGGACCUUACCAGUGUUUAUAAAUAUCUCAAGAGUGGAUAUCAAGAGGAUGGGACCAGACUCUUUUCAGUGAUGCCCAACAAUAGGAUGAGGGGCAACAGGCACAGAUAGAAGCAUAGGAGGAUCUAUCUGAAUAUGAGAAGAAACUUCUUUACUUUGUGUGUGUCAGAGCACUGGAACAGGCUGCCCAGUGAGGUUGUGCAGUCUCCUUCUCAGGUGGGUUGGACUACAUGAUCUCCAGAGGUCCCUUCCAACCCAAACCACCCUGUGAUUCUAUGAAAAGAGAGUGAACUGAAACUAAUAAAAGUAUAAUUCCCCCAAUGCAGUGCAUAUUUGAGCUUCAAGAAAUCUUAGAGUUACAUUCAGAAUUAGAUUCCUUAUCUUAAUACCUACCAAAUUUCAAAAGCUGUAUUACUGCCUUUUGUAUGAAAAAUACUAGUAAGGAAAAAAUAUGAUGCAUAUGUAGUCUCCCAGUGAAAAAAAAAAAAAAAAAAAGUAAUAAUACAGUAGAGCCCUUUUCUAUUGGAUUGUCUGACACAGUAAAUGUUUCUAAACCCCUGGAUACUUUUAUUUAACUUUUUUCCUGUCUUUCAACAGAAAAAAAGAACUUCCUAUUUUAUAUUGCGAGCAAUAAUUUUACAUAUCCCAUUCUAAAGAACAUAUUCUAUGCAUUCAUAACCUUCUAAUUCUCUUCGGAAAGACCAUAAUUCACAAUUGCAUCAAGCAAAACAUAGAAGUAAAUAUGUAAAUGUGUGUGUAAAUAUAUAAGUUAUCUGUACAAUUAAGCAUGCGUCUUCAGUUUCACUGUAAAUGAGUAGAAUUUUUCUUCUGUUGCAUGUCUUUCUCUUUACAUCGUAUGCUAUCCUGACAUACACUUGUUCUGGACUAGAGUCUCAGAAAAUGAUGACCCAAAAUAAAUGGUGCAGCUGAAAUGAGGAGAUGUCUGUACAUACAUAUUGUUCCUGUAUAGCAAUUUCCAGGUCUCUACAAGGCACCAAUUGCUUCUAUGGUAGAAACUUCUCCUGGAGUGAAAGAAAGAUCAGCAAAUACUCAUAUCAGAAGUCCAAGAUACAACUGACAAUUCUUGUCAUCAGUAUGUAAUUCAGGCUUGAACAAAUGCCUGAGCUGGGACUGUAGGUGGACCAAUAGAAGCUUGAUGUACUUAGGGAAAUGAAGGCUGAUGGCAGAUGCAUUCCUUUCAUAAAUACAGCCCUGGUGUAAACAUUUUCUCUAUCUUUCUGAUAUCUUCCCAUUCAGAAUAAAAGGAGUAACUUAACUAAAACAUAAAAGGUUUUUACAUUUUAAACUUAUUGACUAGAUAAUAUACUCACUAUGAUUCAGUGUGAAUUCAGUCUUUUCUGACUUCAGCUGCCUUGAAAUGAUGAAUCCAGUCUAAGUAACUGAUGAUAUACUUUCUGUAGGUUCUUCCCUAGAGAGUGAUCUAACUUCUUAAAUGUUUAUUUUAGGGUGAGAUAAAUUGUUCCUGCAAGGUGCUCAUGUCUGUCUUCUCUGACUAAAAUGGGAGUGUAAUCAUGAAAAUAAGGUGUUUAAGGUUUUACUCAUCCAUAUUAAUUUCAGUUUUACCUUGGAUCGUCUCCAGUUUUACCUGGAUUAAUUCAGUUGUACCUUGAAAACACAUCUUGCACAUAAUAAUGGAAUUUGAUGGAAAGAAAACAAAACAAAACCACAACUGACCAACCCACCAAAAAAAGCACAAAACAACAACAGCAAUAGAAACAAACUCAUCCAAUUGUAGUAGUAAGGUGAUACUUUAUGAGGAAAUUGAAUUUUAAAGUAAUCUACAAAGCUAUAGUCUUACAUAAAUAUGAGUGUAACUUCAUGGCUGUAUUAUAAAGGUUUGCUUUAUUUGCCUUCCAAAAAAGUUGCCAAAUCUUUAACAUUUUCAUUAAUUAUAUUAUUAAGAAGUCCAAUAUUAUUUGUGUAAUAAAAUAUGUUUCAUCCUAUCCAUGAAGUUAUUUUAAAACAUAGUGAUUUUUUUUUAAUUUGCUCCUUUCUAAUGGCAAAUAUUACUGCUGAAGGAACUUCAGAGCUCUAAUUCUGUACUUAGAAAAUAGAACUAAAUUAUAGCAUGCAUUUUUAAAGUAGACAGUUUCUAAAGAUACACCUUGCUUUGCUGUUUACAGUAUUCUCCAAUGAGUUUUAAUUCAAAGCAACUGUUUACUACUAAGUGAUAUCUUGUUGUAGUCAUGGAAAGUGAAGAUUAGAGUUCAUAACAUUCACAAAUAUCUUCUGUCUAGAUUCUUUUAAGGACUACUCUCAAUUUUCUCAGGACCAACAUAAUUUACACAUUUUUAUUAUGCUAAUAGCAGUAUAGUAUUAUGCAUUGUGUCCUUCAUCCUGGUGGAUUUUGUUUCAUCCAUUUUACUUGUAUUUCUAAUCUGAUAACAGAAUAUAUUAAAAACAUCUGUCCUUGUGUUACAAGUAUUUGUUAUUUGUAGAAGAUAGGAAAUAGAAGUGUGAAAUUAAUUUUCAUUAUGAAUUGUACUUGCCCUCAGAAGAAGUUGCUAGAGAUUGCAUAUUUUUCUGCUUCAGAGUAAGAAGUGAGAUUAUAUCAUAUUACGUUGAUUAGAAAUUCACUGCUAAUAUGAAACCUGUACUUAUUAGGGAAAAAGAAAAGAAAAAAAAAAAAAAAGAAAAGAAGUUUGUUUUUCUGCAUUGAAAGAGUCAGGAUUUCUCUGUCUCUCUAAAGGCAAGUACAGUCAGGAUUUCAAUCAGUGUUAGCACAAAUGAAAAUUGAAGUGUGUCAUGAGUGAUAUGAAACAACUCAGACAAUAAUAUGCUUUAUUGUGUUAAAUUUAUGCAUCAGUUAUAAUUGUAUGUAUCUGGAAUCUUUUAACAUCAAAGAAGUUAAAACAAGUUUAGGUAAUCUAAUUUUAAGAGACAUUGCUGGUCAAAAUGAGAAGUGCAUUAAUAUUUGUGUUGUUUGCAAAGUUGAUUAUCAAAUGUCUUUCUGUUGUUACAAAAUUUUAGAAACUUAUUCAAGGCACAACCAAGCCUAGUAAUAUCUGUGCUAAAGAUUUUUAUAUUAGUCAAACUUUGCAGUCCUCCUCAACAAGCUGGUUGAGAACGUUUCUGAGUUGUAGGGGAUUUUUAAUUGUCAAGAAGUCAUUGAAGGAUCAAAGAGGACUGAUAAUGAGACCUAGAAGAUUGUUUCAGUUUUCGAAUGUUCCUUCAUUUAGCGUUUGGGUUUUGUUCUAUGGAUGGGUUUGGGCUUUUUUUUUUUUUUCUUUGUUUGUUUUGUUGUUGUUGUUGUUUUGGGUUUUUUGUUUUUUGUUUUUGAUGAUGUUUUUCUGCAGAAGGAAAUAUGCAAGAUUGAUUAGCUCCAACCUGGCAGCCUUUAAAUCAUUACAGGCUUCCUGAAAUGAAGUUGUGAACAGUGGGAAGAAACUGAACUGUAAAGCUUAUUCUUUAGGAGAUCAUAAGAUUUUUUUGUUUUCUAGCAAAAUAAUUCAUUAUCCCUCUCUCUGAAGAUUUUUAAUUUCCAUAUUGAAUUCAUAUGUGGCAACAGAGUCACUUGAAUAUUUUCUGACUCAAGAAGUCAUGAAAGUCAAGUUGUGAUGGGUUUUUUUAAUUGUUUUGUUUUGUGGUUUUGUUGUUGUUGUUGGGGGGUGUUUUUGUUUUGGGGGUUUCUUGCGUGUUGUUAGUUUGUUUCAUUUUGGUGUGGGUUUUGUUUGUAUCCCCAGGGAGUUUGUCAUGCUCAAAUGAAUGGAUAUCCAAGUCUUUUUUCAGUAAAGCUUUGUUGUCUAGGAGUUAAAUUUUGUUGUUGUUAUCUGACUCCAAAAAUAAUUCAGAGUAUAUAAAAACUGAAAAUAUUGAAGUAAUAGGAAUAACAUCUAUGCUGCCUAUUCGACCGUACAAAUUCUAGCACUAAAAUGUUUUAAAAUGCUCUAAAAUUCCAAAGUAACUAGACCUCUAUAUUAUGUGCUUUAAUAGGGUUUAUUGCUUAGAAUUUUGCAAUAAGUCUUCAUCCCUUCAUACACACCAUCAUAGAAUAGGAUGAAUAUCUUAGAAGUCCUGUAAUGCAAAUCUUUAAUUCCUAGAAGUGACACUGGUCAUGUUGUUGUGCCGUUCUGGGAAGUAGCCUUGAUUUGCUAUAGCUCAGGUUUCCCAAACCUCUCAUAUAACCACCAUCACCAAAAAUUCUUUGCCUAUAAGUAUGGAAAUAUUAAUAUUCUGUCUAAUAUUAUUCAAAAAUGUAAUUUUUCUGUGAAAUCUAGGGCAAGAUGUUGUAAGAGGAGAACAGAAAAAUUAUGUACAUUCUUGAUUAUAGUAAGUAAAUCUCUUUGUUCUAUUUGAGCAGCUUUUACACCCAAAACUUCUCAUUGUACAGGCUGAAAAACAGUAUCUGAUCUCUGUUUUUCAGUUGCAAGCCAGACUCUAAAUUUAAACCAAUACCCAACCUAUCUAAACAGGGCCAGAGAACUUCUGUUGUAUUCUGCAUGCUAGUAUACUACUGUAGGGGAAUAAAAGACAGUAGUCAAUUUAGUUUUCAUUUGAAGUCAAUGAUUUACUAAGUCACUCAGCUAAAUCUGAGGUCUAUUUGCAAAGAGCUUUCUGGUAGGUACUGCUUAGGUCAGGGGCUUUGCUCAGCAGAGUGGUUCUCUCCUGGGAGCUCCUGAAUUUCACCUGAAGGAAGAAACUAGGAAGGGUACUAGAGUAAGUUACUUACAAUUACCCUUUGACUUGCCAUCCCACCAGUAACACUGACUAAUGUUUGUGUGGGUAUGUGUUAGUGUAAGUAGAGACAAGGAAAGGGAAACACUUCCCAGCCCCCCAGAGGUAGCUGCCUUGGUGUGUUCUGCUCCCCAAAUAAUCCUAAAAAGUCUGAGUGAUUGUACUCUGCUGUCAUAUGGAGAUAGGAACAAAAAGAAAAAUCCUCUGUUUCCAGCUGAGAGGGACACUGGCACAAAGUGUGCUUACUGUGAGUUAGCUGAUGAGUAGAUGGGUAGGAGCAAGGCUGAAAUGGAGAUCAUUUCUAAAGAGGAAGACAAUUUCAUGCAGAGUGAAAUAUGUGUGUACAGGCACAUUUACUAAAACUGUAUCAGCAGCUGUUCUGAAUGAAACUGCUGUAGCUAAACGCAUUUAUGGCCAAAAACAUGUAGUUACACAAUUAAUUGAUUAAAGUAAGAGAAACUGCAUAAAUAAAUCUGAAUCAUAGAACCAUUUAGGUUGUAGAAGACCUUUAAGAUCAAGUCCAACCAUAAAUCUAACACUGCCAAAUCCACCACUAAACCAUGUCCCUAAGUAAAAUGUGUACACAUCUUUUAAUAACCUUCAGGGAUGGUGAAUUAACUGCUUCCCUGGGCAGCCUGUACAAAUGCUUUAUAACCCUUUCAGUGAAGAAAUUUUUCCUGAUAUCCAAUCUAAACCUCCCAUGUUGCAACUUGAGGCUGUUUCCGCUUGUCCUAUCACCUGCUACUUGGGAGAAGGGAUGAACACCAUCCAUGCUACAGCCUUCUUUCAGGUAGUUGUAGAGAGCAAUAACGUCUCCCCUCAGCCUCCUUUUCUUCAGGCUAAACAGCCACAGUUCCCUCAACUGCUCCUCAUCAGACUUGUGCUCCAGACCCCUCAUCAUCUUCGUUGCCCUUCUCUGAACUUGCUUCAGCACCUCAUACUCUUUCUCAUAGUGAGGGGACUAAAACAGAAAACGGUAUUUGAGGUGCAGCUUCACCAUUUCUGAGUACAGGGGGAUGAUAAUUUCCCUAGUUCUACUGACCACACUAAUCACAUUUCAAAUAACAGUCACAUUUCAAGUAGAAGAAAUUGCUUCCUUAUGUUGGCAUUUCCAGUUUACUGAAUACUUUGUAACAAUAAUGUUUUAGUGAUAUACUGUAGAACGUUCUUACUGUCUCAGCUCUAAAGGUCAGAUGUUUUACAUGACUUGAGUAUUUUCAUAGUGUUGAAAGCAUAAGAUCAGCAUUUAAUAUAUAAAAAAUAACAAAAGUAUUAUCAUGUAAGCCCAAGUGAGUGCAGGAAGAAAGGAAGAUAAAAAUACUGACAAGACUGCAGAUAAUGAAUCUUCACUCAGCAAAUGGUAAGGAGAUACAUAGCCCAAUCCUGCAGUUUUAAGUUACUAACAAUCUAGUACUUUUAGAGAUUAAAAAUAUCAGAGAAAAAUAUUACAGUAGUUGAUCAUUUAUUAGCAGGCAACUGAUGCAAAUGGAAAAUAUCUAAGGGUUAUUUUAUUCUUCACAUAUAAAGUGAACUGAUAAUAAAAAUAUGGAUUUCAUUAAGAAGUGUAAUCAUACAUCAAGCUUUUCAUUAAGACUACAGAAGUUUUCUGAUGAAUUACAGAUUUCUGUGCUUAUAAUGGAGUUAAAUUCAAUCUAAUGUGUAGAUUGUGAAGUGUGCUUCAAUCCAUGACAGCAACUGAGGGACCCAAGAGCCAGGUCCCAGCAGCUGCUAAGUGAUUGACCACUAAUGUUUGGGAUAUGAAGUUUCACUCAUGGCAGAAAAACGCAGCUGCCAGGGAGAAUGAGAACUGCCCUGAGGGUAAGCAUAAGCAAGAGACUGGCAGAAAUAUGACUGAGGUCUGGGGCUGCCAGAAACAAAAAGACAGAAGAAAAGCCACUUUCCUCUGCUUUCCAUGUGUCUCCAAAAUGUAUCUUGCUGUAGAUGAAAUAUGACAUUGGUAGCCUUAGUGAAGCUCUUCCCAUUAGGAUGCUCUUUUUGUUCCAAAGGCAACUGGCUAUGGGAUACAGCCUAUACAUGCUACCAAAGAACAGCAGCAGACGGCAGAUACCAAGUCAACCCAUUCAAACAGACACAAAGCAAUGCAAUGUGGAGCUUCUGUCACAUUAUGAGAGCAGUAUUACAGAAAGGGAUGUGAGGAUAGUGUAACACUGAGUAAUCAAAUCAUGAACAAUCUUGAACUUGAUGACAGCAUGUGACCUGUGCUCAGAAUGGCCAAGAAGAAGCUUGGAGGCUACGUUUUAAGGGAUCCAUAUUAAUCCAACCAUAGUCCUGUGCUUUUAUUUGAGGUUUUCCUGGAAGCUUUCUUUGUCACCAGAUCUAUCCUGAAUUAUGAACUAUUCAUUUUAUUGCACAAAAUAGAGACAAAGGUGUGAAAAAAACAGACAGAUGUUGAUGAUUAGCAAAAAAGUGCAUGCUUGCAGAAAAGCUUGGGAUAAAUAGAGAAAUGUACAAAUACUGUAUAUUCAAACUAAUGAAAUACAGAAGUUAUAAUGGGUGCAUUACUUUGCUGUCUCAAAGAUUUUUAGACCUCAGCUAAUGUAGGUGAAAUUGAAUGCGGUCCUGAUUAAAAACAGAAGUGACUCAUAUUCUUAUCAGAGUCUGAGGAUACAUAUGAAAAUUUCAUUGUAAAUCAGUGAAGCUGGAUUAUAUCAAAGUGGGGUUAGCUAUAUGGCUGUUUACUUUUCUUUUUUUUUUUUUUUUUUUUUUUAAUUAACCUUACUUCUAACUCUUAAAAGUGUUGUAAAAAGCUACAACAAGUUCUUCUUGAAGGAACUUUCACUCUUAUUGAUAGAGAUCCAUCCUUUUCCUGUGCUGAGUCCCAGCAGAAAAAGAAAGGGGAAAAAAUAGACAAAAGCUAAUGGAUAUCAAGAUUAUGAUGGGUGACAGAUACUUAUAAAGCUGCUAUAGAAUUCAGACUGCAGAAUGAUUUUCCAGCAUCUUGAUUUUUCAUCAUGUGUCAACUUUUCAAAGUAGAAGCAGAAUAUACUAGAAGAGCACAGAAGAAGCAUAAAAUUUGUGCCAAUGAAUAUAACUGGAUGGUAAGCAGCUUUUAUGACUAGAA